AACGAACGCUGGCGGCAUGCCUAACACAUGCAAGUCGAACGAGACCUUCGGGUCUAGUGGCGCACGGGUGCGUAACGCGUGGGAACCUGCCCUUAGGUUCGGAAUAACUCCCCGAAAGGGGUGCUAAUACCGGAUAAUGUCUUCGGACCAAAGAUUUAUCGCCUUUGGAUGGGCCCGCGUUGGAUUAGCUAGUUGGUAGGGUAAAAGCCUACCAAGGCGACGAUCCAUAGCUGGUCUGAGAGGAUGAUCAGCCACACUGGGACUGAGACACGGCCCAGACUCCUACGGGAGGCAGCAGUGGGGAAUAGUGGACAAUGGGCGAAAGCCUGAUCCAGCAAUGCCGCGUGAGAGAUGAAGGCCUUAGGGUUGUAAAGCUCUUUUACCCGGGAUGAUAAUGACAGUACCGGGAGAAUAAGCUCCGGCUAACUCCGUG
Molecule: ribosomal RNA, 433 nt
Filed under: uncultured bacterium
Lineage: Bacteria
Description: partial 16S ribosomal RNA
Rfam family: Bacterial small subunit ribosomal RNA
Source: RNAcentral